CAGGAUUCGGAUAUACUUCUGAGACCAUGGAGAAGGCAGCCAGAUAGAAUCAGGACCUCCUGGGAGCUGGUCUCUUUGUAGGGCCUUCCUCUUUGGCUGAUUUUUCUCCAGAGGCCAAAUUGCCUCCUCUCCUUCCCUUCAUCCUCUUUCUCCUCCCUUUCUUUUUCUUUCUCCUGGCAUUCGCCAAGGCAUUGGCCUCUAUUCCCUCACCUAAAUUUCUAUUGAGACACUUCGCUGGCAGCUCCCACAUUUAUGUGCAACUUGGAACCGUCUCUGGGGCUACAGGCACAGAGGCCUGACUGGUACUGCUCACAUGCAAUAAUUAACAGCUGAGUGGCCUUCGCCCAAUCUCAGCCUCCA
This 360-nucleotide long non-coding RNA is filed under the name Cricetulus griseus (Chinese hamster). RNAcentral's name for it is "lncRNA (ENSCGRG00015033734.1)". The record is from RNAcentral. Lineage: Eukaryota; Metazoa; Chordata; Mammalia; Rodentia; Cricetidae.